UCUAUGCUGAGAGUCGAUAGCAAGCUGUACUUGUACAGUGAAGUGGCUGAUACCAUGCUUCCAGGAAAAGUCUCUAAGCUUCAGUUACACAGGAAUCGUACCCGAAACCGACACAGGUGGUCAGGUCGAGUAGACCAAAGCGCUUGAGAGAACUCUGCUGAAGGAACUAGGCAAAAUGGUACCGUAACUUCGGGAGAAGGUACGCUGCUGACGGUGAUGGGACUUGCUCCCUGAGCGGUUGGCAGCCGCAGAAACCAGGCCGCUGCAACUGUUUAUUAAAAACAUAGCACUCUGCAAACACGAAAGUGGACGUAUAGGGUGUGAUGCCUGCCCGGUGCUGGAAGGUUAAUUGAUGGGGUUAGCGUAAGCGAAGCUCUUGAUCGAAGCCCCAGUAAACGGCGGCCGUAACUAUAACGGUCCUAAGGUAGCGAAAUUCCUUGUCGGGUAAGUUCCGACCUGCACGAAUGGCAUAAUGAUGGCGGCGCUGUCUCCAGCAGAGGCUCAGUGAAAUCGAAAUCGCUGUGAAGAUGCAGUGUACCCGCGGCUAGACGGAAAGACCCCGUGAACCUUUACUGCAGCUUGACAUUGAACUUUGACCUUACUUGUGUAGGAUAGGUGGGAGGCUUUGAAGUUGGAACGCUAGUUCCAAUGGAGCCGUCCUUGAAAUACCACCCUGGUAAUGUUGAGGUUCUAACUCUGCCCCGUAAUCCGGGGCGAGGACCAUGUCUGGUGGGUAGUUUGACUGGGGCGGUCUCCUCCUAAAGAGUAACGGAGGAGUACGAAGGUGCGCUCAGCGUGGUCGGAAAUCACGCGUAGAGUAUAAAGGCAAAAGCGCGCUUAACUGCGAGACCCACAAGUCGAGCAGGUACGAAAGUAGGUCUUAGUGAUCCGGUGGUUCUGUAUGGAAGGGCCAUCGCUCAACGGAUAAAAGGUACUCUGGGGAUAACAGGCUGAUACCGCCCAAGAGUUCAUAUCGACGGCGGUGUUUGGCACCUCGAUGUCGGCUCAUCUCAUCCUGGGGCUGAAGCAGGUCCCAAGGGUAUGGCUGUUCGCCAUUUAAAGAGGUACGCGAGCUGGGUUUAGAACGUCGUGAGACAGUUCGGUCCCUAUCUACCGUGGGCGCUGGAAAUUUGAGAGGAUCUGCUCCUAGUACGAGAGGACCAGAGUGGACGAACCUCUGGUGUACCGGUUGUCACGCCAGUGGCAUCGCCGGGUAGCUAUGUUCGGAAGGGAUAACCGCUGAAAGCAUCUAAGCGGGAAGCCUACCUCAAGAUAAGAUUUCCCUAAGACUAUAUGUCUUCUAAAGAGCCGUUCGAGACUAGGACGUUGAUAGGUUGGGUGUGGAAGCACGGUGACGUGUGAAGCUGACCAAUACUAAUUGCUCGUGAGGCUUGACU
RNAcentral lists this ribosomal RNA (1397 nucleotides) under Acinetobacter sp. CIP 102159. Its description in RNAcentral is "bacterial LSU rRNA". It matches the Rfam family "Bacterial large subunit ribosomal RNA", at positions 1550 to 2925 of the family's 2925-position model. The record is from RNAcentral. Lineage: Bacteria; Pseudomonadati; Pseudomonadota; Gammaproteobacteria; Moraxellales; Moraxellaceae.